GUGUUCACUUAGGCAAACUCUUUGGUGUGAGAUGCUUAUACAGAUUGUUGCAGUCGAGUGUGUGAGUUUUGUCCACAUCCAAGAUGGGAGUCAACUGAGUGUUGUGCACUUAGGCACUGGGAGUUUGAGUUUGCAUGCCUACACCAGUAACUAGGAGUGUUUAGUAUGUUUCAGUGUUCAAAUCUAGAUACAUUGAGCAUGUGUUCGCCUUGAGAGAUGUGAAUAGGUUCAAGCUAAUGAUUGUUUUGCAUGAAACGUUUGGUGAUGACUCAUUACUAGAUGAGUGUCUAAGGAAGAAAAUUAUUUUAAAACUUGGUUUCUUUGCGUUGUGUUUGUUUUCUCAAAGAGUUUCUGGCAUCUCAAGGAUCUGUUAUUUGUCAUGUAGCACAGUGUGUCUGUAUUGUUUCUUUUCCUUUUACUUGUUAUUUUAGUUGUUUUAGAUGUUGUUUGUGCUUUUUGCGUGACCUUUGUGAAUGAGAAAGAGAUGUGGGGCCUUUUUCAAAAAACUUAACCUCAAACAUUAAGGAGUGAAUUUGAGAAUAUAGAAAUUAUAUCUAAGCUAGGCUGAGGUUAACUCUACCUCUUACAAGUUUUAAUAAUACUCUUUUUGGUCUCCACUAAUAAAUUUAUUCAACUAAGAAAGGAUGACUUUUAAUUAAUAGUUUUGGGAUGACAUGGAAAAUUUUAUAACUAAAAUAUAUUGAUCUUCCUCCCUUUCUCUAAUUUGUUUGUAACGCCCCUACAUCUGAUCAUCUCUAACACUCUUAUUGCCUCCUCUUAAAAAGAUAAGGAGAUGGAACAUUAGGGUGUGCAAGAAGUAUAUGCCAAUAUUAAAGUAUUGAUUAUAUUUCACUAUUAAUUGUUAUUAGAUUCAACAUAACAGUGAUUAUUGAAGAUGUGAUGGAAGAAUAAUGUGAGUUGGAGAAAGAUGGCAGCACCGAAUACAAACAAGCUGGAUAUCAUAAGCAUUUCAUGAGAAAGAGACUACAGUUUGUGGGGUGGAAGACGAAGAAACAAAAACAUUUUCUUUAGAAUAUGUGAAAGGUAUAGUUUUGUAGUACAAGUUUUAAUUGGAAGGUAAAAUAUAGGUUUCAAAAUUAAUGGUUAGGGUAAAAUUAAUGUAAAUAAUGAAGAGGAAAUUAAGGGUCCAAAUAUUAGGCUCCUAAAGUUUGGUGAAGAUUACUAGCUAGGGGUGAUUUCAAGUAUUAAUUAAUUGAUGUGGAGAACUAAAACUCCACCAACUUAAUAAAUAAAUAACAAUCACAAUAACAAUAAUAAUAACCUAUGGGUUUUAAUAUUUGAUGUGAAGUCUCCUCAAUAAUAAUCUCUUCAUUUGAUUCGGCGGCGGAUGUCACUAAAUAAGCUUCCCAUUUUUGCUUAAUUAAUCAAUUAUUUUCUUUUUUUAAUUUUCAUUUGUUUAUAAACCAACAUCCUAUAUACAUAUAUUUUAAUCUAUACAGCUUUGCUUCAAUUCUUUCUAAUUUCAUCCUAUUGUAAAAUAAACUCAAACUAUUUUACAAUGUAAUGAUAAACUUUAAAUUCAAUUUUUAUAAAGUCUAUAAGUUAUAUAACAUACACUAAUAAUUUACCAAUAUUUGAAGAUCAUGUCAUUAAUUAAUAAUAGAAGUUUACCAAUAAUAAAAUCUAUCACUAAUAGGUUUUAUCUAUUUUUAAAAACAUUUAUGUCUAAUAUAUUUAUAUAUAUUUAAAUUUAGAGACUAAACAUAUAUAUCUUAUAAAGUUCAUGACUAAAAGUAUACUUUUUCUAAAAUUUAAAAUUCGGUCCAUUUGUUUUUUUUGUACGCAGAUUCAAAUUAUACGAAUUAAAUGAGAGUUAAACAAACUUCAAAAUAUAAGGACCAAAAUGAUAUUAUAACACGAAGUUAUAAUUUUUUUUAUUAACUUAAUUUUUCCCUCUUAAUAAUGCACACACAUAAGGUUAAAAUAUAAAUGAUUUUUAAAAAAAAUAAAAUAUGCAAAAAUAUUUACAUCGUAUAGAACGAUUUUAAAAAAGAAAAAAAUCUCACAAACUCACAACGUAAAAUAACAAAAGUAUCUCUUGAUUGAUCGGCCACACACGCACAAAAAACGAUCUUUUAUUCUUGAAUUCAGUCUGAACGAUCUUGUACCACAUCUAAACGAUCUUGAUACAAUACUUGAUGAUAAAAAAGAAAAAGAAAAAAAGUAUUAUCUUUAUAAGAAAAAUAACGUCAAAGAUGAGAGAUAACGAAAGAAAAAAUAAUGACAAAAGAGAAGACGAGAAAAUUCAAAUUUGUAAAAAUAUAAACUCAAACUCAUAUAGAUAUAUGGUAAAUAUUUUGAGUUUGGUUAUAUAUACGUAAGUUAACCCAAUAUAAAAAGUAUAAAAUUGUGUUAUGGGGGAUGAAAAUUUGUAGUUAGGUUGACCCGUGACAUAAUUUUCCUACAAAUUUAAAAUUGGUAAAUUAGACGUGAAGAAGAAUAUCUGAUUAUUCUUUCGAAAUUCCAUGAAUUUGACGUAACUUUUGACUUUUCUUCUCUUCUAUAACUUAACUUCUCAUCAAAUAUUUAUGGAAUGUGCAAUUUACGGAAGAAUCAUGCAAUUUAAUUAACACUUUUUUUGGGUUUCUCUGUUUUUUUUUUUUUUUUUUGUGGACUAUUUUCAAAAUAUUAUUAUUUAUAUAUUUACGAAAACAAAAUCAAAAAUGGAAAUUGUUUUAGUGAAAUUAUUUUAAAUAAUUAACUCUAAAAUUUAACUAUAUUUUACAAAUAUUUUGAUAUAUUUAAAAACAACCCGUUAAUUUAAACAACAAAACAUUUACAUUAUUUACAAAUAUAUCAAAUUUUUAUAUUAGUGAUAAACCUAAAUAGACAUCUAUAAACAUUUAUCACUUUUAAGGUAUAGAAGUCUAUCAAAAUUGAUAUGUUUUGUAUUUGUAAAUAAGUUAACUCUUUUUACUAUAUCCCAACUAAAAACAUUAAACACUAUAACAGCAAAAAAAAAAGAGUACGAAUUAGGUUUGAAAAAUGAUUUAAGGAACUAAAAACAUAUAUGCAUAGUGAUUGGCAUGAAUUCGUAUUAGAAUUGAUAAUUUUUCUAAAAACACAGCCUAAACAACAAUGGUUUUGAAGGAAGAGCACAAGUCACAUCACUCCCAAACUAACUAAAAUAACAAUCUAUAGAUAUAUAAAUACGAUGCAUAUAUAUUAUAUAUUAAAAUAAGUUAUUCAUAUUCACUAAAAAGUGGGAGUGAUGAAGAUUUAAUGAAGGCGAUGAAAUAAGAAUACAGUCCACAUUUUGAUCCAUCUUAUUCACAGUUUUUGAUGAAGCUGUAACAUUAAACCCUAGCCUACGUGGCAAUGAGUGCUUAAGAUUAAAAUAAAAUAAAUAAAAAUGGAUGAAUAUUUAUUUUCAUAUAUAAAUAUAUAUAUAUAUAUAUAUAUAUAUAUAUAUAUAUAUAUAUAUAUAUAUAUAUUUCUGAUAGAGUUUACUUGUAGAAAACAAUUUCCUAUGUCUGCAAGCUACCCACCGAAUCUUUUGAAGGGGUAUUAUCUGAAUAGAGGAAAAAUAAAAAGAAAAUAUAUAAAUGAUUAACUUUGAAAAUGACACAUAAAAUCAUAUAUGUGAAAAUGAGGGGUCAAGUGAUUUUCCAAAUUGGUUUUACUUUUACGUGAUUUUCAUUCAUAUAUUUAUUUUUGGGGCAAAAAACUAAUAUCCCAUCCAUUUUAAUUUUCCCAUAAUGAACUUGCCUAAUAUUAAUAUUCUAUCCACUUUUAUCUCUAAAAUCUUUUUCAUCUGCACUUCAAACUUAAAACACAAUAUCUAUAUGUAUUGCAAUGUUAACAUUUUAUUAACUUAUUGCUCUAAAUAUCCUUAAAAAAAUGUAUAAGAUAUGUAUCACAUGGAAUGGAUUGAUAGAAGAUUUUGAAAAAAAUAUUAUUACUUGGUUAACUUGUGCUUUAGAUGAAAUUAUUUAUUUUUGAUAACUUUAUUUUUAUGAAAUUGAUAUGUUCAUGUUAAGGUUUUUACUUUAAUUUUGGUAGGAAAAAAAAAAAGAAUAGUAAAAAAAUGAGCAAAACGGAACAUAGGGGUAAAGAUUGCAACAUUAUUUAGUUGAAUUUGGGGUAGGUCCAAUAUGAUGAAAUGGUAUGUUUAUGGUCUAAAAUCAUACAGCGACCCUACAAAUUUAGGAUCUAAAAUAUUGAAUCUUUUUCCUUUAUAUAAUUAUAUAGUUGAAUGUCAUACGUUAGCUUUUGUUUGAAAACAAUGUUAUUCCAAUAUGAUGAAAUCUUGUGGUUGAAGCCAAUCCUUAAAAAGGAUGAGUUUUUAAGAUAAAAACAGCAUUAAUUCUCAUCAUUAACCGUACAAUUACCGUUAAUUCAUGAUGAAUUAUUUAAUGUUUUAGAAAUUUAAUUAGAGGUAAAAUAUAUAGGAUAAGGAUAGAUUUUUUCAAAUAUAAAAAAAAAAAAAGCCAAACUCCUAUAUAAAUAUAUUAAAAUGUAGUGAUAGCCAUUGAUAUUUUAAAAAUAUUUUCACCAAUUUUAUCAUUUUGAGUAUGAUUAGAUUAGAUUAGGAAACAACUUGAGUUUAGUUUGAAUAAAUUAAAUUAGUUAUAUAUUUUAUUUUAUAUAAAUAUAAAUAUAAAGAGGGUUUGUGUAGGUUUAUAAUAUAGUUCGGAAGUAAAGACAUAAAUCCAUUAUAAAUUAAUUUAAAUAAAAUGUUAUGAUUUCCUUAUUUAAGAGAAGAAUUGUUAGUAAAUAUUGAUAUAUAUUUUUUUAAAAAAAGACGUGUAUAAAAUUGAAAUUUGAAUAGAAGCGGACGUAGGAAGGAAAGAAAAUGAAAAAGGGAAAAAUGAAAAAGAUUUAAGAUUAAGAUAUGGAAGUGUUUUUCAAAAAGUGAAAAAAGAUAGGUUUUGGACAAAAGUGUUGUUUUAAAAUACAGAAAAAGUUGCUAAUUUCAUGGCAAAGUUUGUUGAAAUUUGUUUGGAAACAAAAUGCUCUUUUUGCUUUUUCGUUUUUUCUUUUUUUUUUUAGUGAAUUAGAAUAAUAAGUUGCACAUGAAUGCCAAUUACAAACUACUUUUAAUCAAUCUUCUUAGAUAUUCGUAUUUAUUUAUUAUGAUAUUCAACACAGGCAUGCACAUGCUUCCUCUCUUUCACCUCAACUAUCUUUCUACUCAUAUAUAUAUAUAUCCAUACCUAAGCUACGCUUUGUCACUCUUACUUAGCUACCCUCCCGGCCGCUUUACCUUUCCACCAAUCCUAAUUCUAAAUUUAUUUUCCUAUAUAGUCUACUAUCUAAUUUACUAUGACCCCCUUGGCCUCUUACAUUCAUUAUGAUUUCUUUUUCUUUUUUAACACAUUGGAGUUACUUGUUAAUUCCAUUCAUUAUUUCUUUACUAAACUAAAUCUUUUCCAUUAAAAUAAAUAAUUCCCUUGUGUUAAUCAACUCAUUUAUUUACUUCUCUAAUUAUUUAAAAUUGUUCAUCAUCACAAAAAUAUGUAAUUAUUUAAAAGCACCCUUGGUAUUUAAAUGUUCAUGAAACUAACAAACUUUAGUAGUUAUGUUUGUAUAUAUAAGUUAUGAUUUAUUACGGUUGUAAAUAAUAUUUAGAUGAAAGUUUUCAUCAACGUUCAAGUGUCAUUUUUAUAAUGUAAGGACUUCUUUGUAGUUUAUAAAUACAUAUAAUGAAUUUACCUAUCUACGUAUAAUAGUCUAAACACUUGAUAUUAUACUACAAAUCAAGUGUGGAUAUCUCAAGAAUUUCAACAAAAUUUAAUUUAAUACAAGAAAGCAAACAUAUCAAAUAUAUAUAUAUAUAUAUAUGGACCCGGUGAUGCAAGUAAGAAAUGAUUAUUUGAAAUUCAACCCUUUAUUUUAGUUAAAUUAAAUAAUUGGUAAUUGAUCUACCUACCUAAUAAAAGAGUUUAAAAAUAAUUUAGACUACUUCUAAAUAUUGCAUCAAACAUUUAUUGUUUUAUAACUUUUUUUUUUAAUGAAUUUUUUCAUUAAUCAACUACAUAAAGUUGUGUUAAGUAGGUGGAUAUUGGUAAAAUAUGAGAUAAUUAAUUGUCUCAUAUCAUAAAUGUAAAAAAAAAAUGAAGAAGAGAGGAAUAACUCACAUUUUAUAAAAGUUAAGACAAUAUGUUCGUUUUUUUUGGUGGGAGAUCCUAAUGUAUCCUUUCGAGAUAUAAUUUUGCUUUUUUAUAUUCACAAUAUUCUCGUAUUAGGUUGUUCCAAGUUUUUUUUUGGAUCAGUAGAUACUUGUUUGAGUUUUCGGAUACCUCAUUAAAUAGAUAGAAGGUGGGGCUUCUAACAUUUUAUUUAUCUACAUGUAAUACAUGAUAAUUAUGAGUAAAAAAAGGAAGAAGUUUUCAGUUAAUUAAAUGCAUUAGCUUCCUUCUGAGAUGAAGGAUACGUUUCUAACUAAAAAAAAGUGAUACGUUUGACAUGUAGUAAACUACAUAUAUUCUAAAAAGAAAUAUAUUUGUUAAAUGGAGUAACUUAAAUGUGCAAAUGAUCUUAGGAUAAUCAUUAAUCUAAAAGAUAUUUUAUGCAACAGUCUCUCCAACAAUAACAAUAAAUUAUUGUUUUGCGCCACGUAGAUGAAAUUAUUUGUUUCUUAAUAAAAUUAAGUUGUGGAGAAAAAAACGAGUUUAUUUUCAAAAAGAAGCAAUUAGUAUUAAAAAAAAAAAUGUUGGUUUUAUUUAAAAAUAGAAAAGAAAAAUCAAAACGAUUCACUCGAUUGUAUUAUUAUUAACAUUUAGUGUAUUUAUAGUUUACCAAAUCUCACCAUCACUAUUUUUUAGAUCCAAAUUCAAGAAUUGAGCUUAGUAGCAUGAAUCUAAAUGAUUAAUUGUCCUUUUUUUUUUCUUUUUCUUUUUUAACGAUGAGAUUAGCAUGUUAAAACCCACAAAAAUCCCUUAAUUCAUAAUUAAGGGAAGAUUAAUUAUAUUUGGCAUGCAUGUAUGAAUCAAUAAUAGUAAAUAAAAGAAAAAACAAGCCGUAGCUUGUGGAACAAUAAAAAGUUGAAAUUAAAAUGAAAAAGAAAGAGAAAAAAAGAAGGUAAUUUUAGAAGUAGUUUGGAGGAAUUAUUGGAUUGAAAGAAGGGAGAAUAUGAAGCCGUUACUCAUUCUCCAACAUAUAAUAUAAAUAUAUUUCAUCAUCCUUCAUCUACAUUACCUAACAAAAUUCCCUCUUUGGAAAACAACCCUAACCCUACAAUUCAUUAUAUCAUUUUGUAUUUAUUUUGUGGUUUAUAUUUUAUAAUAAGCUUUUUCAUACGUCAUAUUCUUUCCCCUCUUUACUUGUUCCUUAGUGUACAUUUUGCCAUCUCACAUGCAUAUUGCAUAUACCAUAUAUUCUUCUUCUUCUUCUUAGCAUGCUUUGCUGGAUCUUUCUCCUCAAAUUAGGGAUUUUUGUGUGUUUCUGUGCCUACAAUUAUUAAAUUACAUCAUUUUCAUAACUAAUCCUCUCCUCAUCCAUUAAAUCAUAUCCUCAUUUUAAUUAUGUUUCCAUCUCUUCCCCCCCGUUUUUUCUUUUUUCUAUUUAUUUACUCUUCAAUCAACCUUUCUUAUACUUACUUUUACUUCCAAUCUAAACAUGACUCAACCCUAAUUAAACACAUGUCUUAAUAUAUCCAAAUAUAUAUUGCUUAAUAAGGACGAGAAGAAACACUAAUUAGCAUUUCAAACCAAAGAACCAUCCACAAUUUUUAAUUAUAAAUAAAAUCGAGCUCUUCAACACUUAUAUGAGUAUUAAAAUUGAAUGCUCAAACGUACCAUAGUUGUAGAGAUUGGACCCAAAAAUCAUAAAUUAAUUAAUCUCUUAUACCGGUUUAUACGCAAUCUUUAUAAUUUCUACACAAUUUAAGAAUCUAAUUUUAAUCCAUCUACAAGUUUGGAGGCUUAUUUUUCAUAAUUAAAAGUUUGAAAAUAUCAUUAUAAUAACCUUAACUGGGUAGUUUUUUAAAAGACGUUAAUAAUAAUUAAGACAUUAUAAGUUUGAUUUUUUUUUUUUAAUUCGACCUAUGCGAUUAAAAUAUGUUUGGGCUAAAUAACUUUGAACUUUCCAAAGAAAAAAUAUUGGAAUAGAGAGGGUUGUAAUUCUUUUCUACCUAUAUGUACAUAUAUGUAUAUCUUUUUAAGUAUAUGCGCUAUGGCUUUUUAUAUAAUUUUUGUGAGGGUAUGAUUACAAAAACCAUGAUUUUUCUAUUGACGCUUGUCCAAUCAUUAUUAUCUACCAAUAAUUAUUUUCCUUUACAUAUUAUUAUAGUUUUUAAAUUAUUGUACACUUUGUGAUGUGCAUAGUUUUGUCCACAUUUAAAAAAUUAUUGACAUUCUCUUAUUUUGUGAUGUGUUAAAUCCUUGAAGGAUGGAGUUCAUCAUGCAAUACAAUCCUAUUAUACAUGAUCAUUAGCAUAGGCCCCAUUUUUGUUGUAUAUUUUUUGGUUGGUCCACAAUCUCACACAUUUGGUACAAUGAUAUAUGUGUCAAGGUGUCUUGUGAUUGGAAUUAAUAGAAUUUUAAUAGAUGUAUGAUGAAAGAGUAUUUAAUUGAUUCAAAUGCUUUUCCCAUCUUAAUAAAAUAGUCUUUUCUUAUCCAAGUUGACUGUCCAUAAAUUUUUUGUAGUUUAAGACAAAAUGGUUAAAGUAUAUGCGUCAAGAGUAUGAAAUUUGUCUAUGGAUAGGGCCAAAAAGUAACUAUAUCUAAACCUCUCAAUUACCUCUCAAUUAGAGUAUCAAUCACCUUAGUAUUCAAUUUGGAAAAACAUAAAUUUUUAGUACAUUUUUUCUUUGGUUAUGAAAUUAAAACAAGUUACAUUACUUAAACUUAAACUUACGUAUGAAUGUUAGACAUUAUAAUUAAAUUUAUCUUCACCUACGAGAUUAGGGCAGGUUGGCUUAGGUAGUCCUUUAUAUACAUAUUACAAUUUACUCAUUAUUUUAAUUGGUAUUUGCUUUAAAAUGGUGGAACUGUUUAGUGCAUACUUCAUAAUAAAUGGAUAUCUUUUAUAAUAUAUACGUACAAUAUUCAUACUUAUCUCUCGAAAAUUUCAACGUACGUAUACGCUACUUUAUUUGCUACGUAGUAGAUUAAAAUAUUUGAACACUCUGUUUUAUUAAAACUAUCACAUCAUCUCCUAACUUAUGUUAAGGUAUUUGUUUUUGGAGUGUAAUAGCAAUGUUACUUUAAAGAUCAUAUAAUUAGUAUAUUAUUGGCUCAUCUAAGUAUCUACCAAACUACAAGACUAGAAAUUCAAAAGAUUGUUAAUUUUACUUUUAGUUUAUAAAGAACCUAAUCCCAUAUUAUUAAAAUAUAGGACCCUUUUUCUUCUUAUUCUUUUCUUGAAAUAUUCAGUCAAACUACAAACAUUCACAACUCAUUUUAAUAUGAGAGAGAGAAAGAAUCAAUAAUUGUUAAACACAUUCUAAAUAUAUAUAUAUAUAUAUAUAUAUAUUUCAAAAAAAAAUCUAACCUCUCGAAUAUAUAUAUAUAUAUAUUUAUUUAUUUAUUUAGUACAUCAAAAAAUACAUGUUUAACAUGUUAAUUAAUUGAUCUAAACUUCAAUUGGUGUUGUUGUUAUGAAAAAAUUAGGAACGUAAGGGGUUUUCAUAAUAACCAUUGAAUGUAAAAUUUAAUUAAUGUCAGCCACCCCCAUUGCGUAGUUUAUGUGAUUAGCACUAAUUAAAACUUGAAAACCUUGAAAUCAUUAUGUUACGUAGUAUUCAAGUAAACUCAUUUAAAAUUUAGGGUUUGUAAUACAAAAUUUACCGAAAUAUUAAUAACUGUAAAUGGAAAAGGGUUGUUUUGGAUGGUUUCCUUAUAAAACUUUUUUGACCUUUUGUACAUAUUUUAGAUGUGUCAAUUACUUUUUUUUUUUUUUGUUUUAAAUAAUAAUAUUAACUUUAUACUCAUCAUCCCUUGUUCAAGUUUUCUUGCAACUUGAGAUUUUCCUUGAAAACUUUACCAUUAUAUAACUAACUCCCUAUGCAUAAGCAUGGUCUGCCCAAAAGCUUAUAUCAACUUAUAGAAAUUAUUUUCUUUUUCUUUUUUUAAAAAAAGCUUUUGUCAUAUCCCUACCUCAACUAUAUAUAUGAAUACAACCAAAUCCUUAUUCCUUAUUACACAACCAUUUCUUUUCCCAAACUAAGAAAAAUUAGAACCCUUUCCUCUUAGUUCUUUUUUUUUUUUCAUUUCCCAUCAACAUUUUAUUCAUACCCCAAAAGUUUGAAUACCCAGAACUUAAUUUGCAUUAUUAUUAUUAUUAUUAUUUCUUAUUGAGGUAGAAAUAAUAAUAAUAAUAUAUAUAACUGUAAAUAUUAAUGGGGCUUAAAGAUAUUGGAGCCUCACUUCCACCAGGGUUUCGAUUUUAUCCAAGUGAUGAAGAAUUGGUUUGUCAUUAUCUUUACAAAAAGAUUAUGAAUGAACAAGUUCUUAAGGGUACUCUUGUGGAGAUCGAUUUGCAUACAUGUGAGCCAUGGCAGCUUCCUGGUACGUUUUUAUAUUUAUAUUUCUUGCUUUUUUUUUUUUAUAAUGUAAUGUUCAAAAACUUUACCUUUAUAUAAGUUAUUGAUUCAAAAUAAUAUGAAUAUAUUAUUCUUGGGAUCAUCUUACUUUUGAAGAGAAGACAUGAAAAGAAAGUGAUGACUUUAGAGUGGUUUUUUUUUUUUUUUUUUUUUUUUUGGGUUAUUUGUUCAAUAAUUACUUUUUAUAAUCCACUUUUGAUAUUUGUUUUAAUAUAUAUUUUUUUUAUAAUAAUAAUGAGUUUCUACAAGUUCUUCAUGCACACAUAUCUUAAUUAGCUAUUAAUAAUGUAGGUUUGAUUAAUGUUUAUUAAAAAGCUGAACUUUUUGCAUGGUUGGUGAGAACUUGUACUUACAAGAAGAAGAAGAAGAAGAAGAAGAAGAAAAAGUUGAAAAAAGAAAAGAAAGAAGAAAAGGCUUUUGAUUCUUUUGUGUAAAAUUUACAAAUUAAAACAGAAAAUAUAUGAGAGUUCUGCCUUACAAAGUGGUUUUUAUAUAUUAUUGAGCAAAAAUCGAUCUAAUUUUUUGUGUUUUAAUUGGUAUUACCUCGUCUGUUUGGUGUUUCUUGUUCGUCUGUUUUUUGUAAUUUAAUUUUGUGAUAAAUUGGCUAAACCUUGAUGUUAAGUGUUUUAAUUAAGGCAGAGGAGGAUCGAGUUUGGGUUUGCUCUCUUUAAUUAUCUCUCUUCCACAUUAAAUAUUCUAAGGAUCUUUAAUUUCUUUCUCCCUCUCCCUCUCCCUCUCUCUCUCUCUCUCUCUCUCUCUCUGUGGUCUCAUACAAACAUGCAUACAUUCAUGUGAAAACCUUGUCUUUCACCAUUUCUUUUUAAAAGAUCGAAUUCUACAUUAAUUAAAAAAUGUCAAUGUAAUUAAAUAAUUAGAUACAAAGAAAGAGAAAAUAAGGGAUCAAAAUUGAGAAUUUUUUUGUAUCAAAAUACAAGGAAAUAUAAUAUAUAAGCUUGGGUGAGUACUAAUUGAGGUAGCUUCAACUUAUAGAACAAGUCUCAUUAAUUAUUGUUACUCUCUCCAAAGCUGAGAAAUAUAUUCUCCAAAAUCUCAAUCAUUUCAGCUUUCGAUACUUCUAUCAUUCUUCUUUGACUUCAUUUCUUUAAUUAAUUACUUUUCUUUCUUCUACUUCUCUGCACCAAUUAUAUAUAUCAAAUCUUUCUUUCAUGCAAAGUAUCUAUAUCUAUUAUAUUUUUAAUUUUCUUUCAAUCAUAUCAAUUAUAUAAUUUCUAGUAUUUGGAUUCAUACAUUUCUCUUUCUCAUCCAAUCCGAUCUAAUUUUGUUGUUUAUGAUCACCAACUAAUGUAAAUCAUUACAUUGCUAAUCAUAAACAAAAAUACAUUUGAGUCUUUCUUUAAAACACAAUGAUAAUUAUUGUAAUUUAAUAUGAAAAAAUGACUUUUUUUUAAUUAAUUAUUUGAUUUAAUUAGCAGCGAAACAUACUAACAAUCAAUAAUAUCAAAUCAUAGGUGUCAUUUUCUUAUUCUCUUUCCCCUUCCCCCUCCUUAGUUUCCUUUCUCUUCCAUAAAUUAUUCACAACUUAAAUGGAAUGAGUUCAAUCAUAUAUGGCUAAUGAAAACGAAAGAUUAAUUUAACUAAUCAAUUUCUUCUCUUUGAAAUUUAAGAGGUGGCGAAGUUGAACAGCAAUGAGUGGUAUUUCUUCAGUUUCAGAGAUCGAAAAUACGCGACAGGCUUUCGGACCAAUCGUGCAACGACAUGUGGAUAUUGGAAAGCGACAGGAAAGGAUCGGACGGUGGUGGAUCCAUCGACAGGGGAUAUCGUAGGAAUGAGAAAAACUUUGGUGUUUUAUAAAAAUAGAGCUCCAAAUGGAAUCAAAACGGGAUGGAUUAUGCAUGAAUUUCGCCUCGAGGCCCCUCAUAGGCCCCCAAAGGUUGAAUUUUUCAUAUUUUUCUUUUAAAUUUUAAUUAUCCAUUGUUUAGGCCAUUUAGACACAAAUCCUAUGGUGUGAGCACAUACACACAAUAAAAUAAAAUAUGGUUAUUUUUUUAGUCCUUCAAUUUGAAAAUAUUUAUAUUCAUGUGCCCUUAAAGGAUAACAACACAAAAGUUGGUGUCUUUUUCCACUUUGGUCAUAUUCACUUACAUAGAGAAUAGAAGAGAGAUCUCAAUUUGAUGAACCUUUAUUGGUUUAUAAAUAGUUGCAUUAGUAGAGAAUAUAUAAUAAUAUAAAUAUAUAUUUUUAAAAUUUUUGUUCUUAUUUAAAAUUAGAAGAUACUAUUAUUAUAACGUGCUUUGUUUUGUUUUUGUAAAAGAGAAACUUAGAAUCAAAAUAACUAUGAAUGUUAUUAUUUAAAGUAAUGAUACAAAUAAAAAGUAAAGAUAAUUUGGAAUUAUCUCUCUUUUUAUUUUUUUCAGUUAUAAUUGGUUUUAUUCAAUACAUUUUCUGCUUUUGUGUUACAUCCAUUCACACAUAAAAAUUUAAUUUCUUAGUCUUUAUUUCUUAAUAUUGUCAUUUUCUUUUCCUUCCAAGUUUGAAACUUUUCCUUUUCAUUUUAAUGUCAGUGAGUUUAAUUUUGUGUAUUCCAUUAUAAAGCAGUUACACUCCAAAUAUAAUCACUACUUGAACCAUACUUUUUUAAUAAAGAAAAAGAAAAGAAAAUUAAUUAUCAUCUCUCUUUUUAAGAAUUCCAUUCAAGUAUAACUUUUCAAUUUUGUACUUAAAGCUCUUUUUAACUUUUUUUCUUUUUUCUUUUUUAACAAUAUGAACAGUCAGAUUUUUACAUGUUCUUCACUUCAUUAUAUAGCUUUUAUGCAUUGAUUUAACAAGAAAAUGAAUAAACUUUAUGUGGGUACAGGAGGAUUGGGUUUUGUGUAGAGUGUUUCAGAAGGGGAAGCAAGAAGAGUACAACACCAAACUGAUCAAUCAACAUUUUACGUUUGGAAACUUCGAGCGUGUUCCAUCCGUCAUCAUCCGAGCUCCAUCUCCCCUUCCAAGUGACCCGAGCCAGACCACAACGAUGCCUUGUGGCUACAAUGUUGAUAUUGAUAUCACAUCAUUAUCGCCCUCAAUGGCUCCCCAUAGCCACACAGGCAGUUGUUCUUUUCUCCAUCUCCUUCAACUUCCUCGAGACAAAGAUGACAACAACAAUAAUAAUAAUCCCAAAACUGAUCAAAUUUUCUGCCCCAAAAAUAAUGAAUCUGAUUAUGGGGCUUUGUGGGACAUGGAUUUAGAAGAACAUACAUUUCAAGAUGGCGUGGGAUCGAACUUGGAUCAAAUGGCAUUCGACGACGUUGAUAGCAGCUUGGUUUUUCUCUAAAAGUUUGUGUGUACUAUGCUAAGGCAGAUGACUGUAUCUGCUACAUUGCACAUUUCAAUAUAGGUUUGUUUGUUGAUGUAUAGUUUAUAUACUUGUAUGAUGUAUUUGCAUUUAGGAGAGUUAUUGGGAUAUUUUGUUGUGUGUUUUCAACAACACACUUAGAUUUCAUUUUUUUCUUCUUUUUCUUCUUUUUCUUCUUUGGUCUUGUAUAGAAAAUUAGUCAAAUCUGUAAUAAAUAUAUUUUAGUUUAAGUGCAUAUUGUUUGUGGAUGUAAUAAAUUUGUGGUUUUUGAUACCACAAAUAUAGAAAUGUUGCAUUUUGUGCAUGUGAUUAUAAACAGGGUCUGUGUGCCCCCUAAAGCUUAAGGAGAUUCAUUUGAAUCAUAAUAAUUCAAGGGGGAAAAAUAGAGGAAGGAGAAAUAAUGUUAAAAGUUCCUAAGAUCACUUGCUUGAUCUAGAGUAAGAAAGAACUAUUCCUUCCUUGAAUCCCCCAAAAGUCUCUUAGACUUAGCCAAAAAUUCUUGUUUUAGAAUCAUUUAUUAUUUGAUGUUUCCGUAAUGAGAUGACAUGGCAUAAUACAACCAUAGUUUCAAUUCAUUUAUAAUCAGGACCAAUCAAGAUCGUAAGUAUCUACCUUUUUCCUUU
RNAcentral lists this long non-coding RNA (14428 nucleotides) under Cucumis sativus (cucumber). Its description in RNAcentral is "long non-coding RNA (CSAT_LNC001069)". Lineage: Eukaryota; Viridiplantae; Streptophyta; Magnoliopsida; Cucurbitales; Cucurbitaceae. The record is from RNAcentral.